This 473-nucleotide ribosomal RNA is filed under the name uncultured bacterium. RNAcentral's name for it is "bacterial SSU rRNA". It matches the Rfam family "Bacterial small subunit ribosomal RNA", at positions 335 to 801 of the family's 1533-position model. The record is from RNAcentral.
ACUCCUACGGGAGGCAGCAGUGGGGAAUAUUGCACAAUGGGCGCAAGCCUGAUGCAGCCAUGCCGCGUGUAUGAAGAAGGCCUUCGGGUUGUAAAGUACUUUCAGCAGUGAGGAAGGUGGGUAUGUUAAUAGCAUACUCAUUUGACGUUAGCUGCAGAAGAAGCACCGGCUAACUCCGUGCCAGCAGCCGCGGUAAUACGGAGGGUGCGAGCGUUAAUCGGAAUUACUGGGCGUAAAGCGCAUGCAGGUGGUUUGUUAAGUCAGAUGUGAAAGCCCGGGGCUCAACCUCGGAAUUGCAUUUGAAACUGGCAAACUAGAGUACUGUAGAGGGGGGUAGAAUUUCAGGUGUAGCGGUGAAAUGCGUAGAGAUCUGAAGGAAUACCGGUGGCGAAGGCGGCCCCCUGGACAGAUACUGACACUCAGAUGCGAAAGCGUGGGGAGCAAACAGGAUUAGAUACCCUGGUAGCUACGAG